This 23-nucleotide non-coding RNA is filed under the name Cricetulus griseus (Chinese hamster). Lineage: Eukaryota; Metazoa; Chordata; Mammalia; Rodentia; Cricetidae. The record is from RNAcentral.
UUGUAUUAAAUAAAGAGGACUGU